GAUGAACGCUGGCGGCGUGCCUAAUACAUGCAAGUAGAACGCUGAAGGAAGGAGCUUGCUCUUUCCGGAUGAGUUGCGAACGGGUGAGUAACGCGUAGGUAACCUGCCUGGUAGCGGGGGAUAACUAUUGGAAACGAUAGCUAAUACCGCAUAACAGUAGAUGUUGCAUGAUAUCUACUUAAAAGGUGCAAUUGCACCACUACCAGAUGGACUUGCGUUGUAUUAGUUAGUUGGUGAGGUAACGGCUCACCAAGGCGACGAUACAUAGCCGACCUGAGAGGGUGAUCGGCCACACUGGGACUGAGACACGGCCCAGACUCCUACGGGAGGCAGCAGUAGGGAAUCUUCGGCAAUGGACGGAAGUCUGACCGAGCAACGCCGCGUGAGUGAAGAAGGUUUUCGGAUCGUAAAGCUCUGUUGUAAGAGAAGAACGAGUGUGAGAGUGGAAAGUUCACACUGUGACGGUAUCUUACCAGAAAGGGACGGCUAACUACGUG
This 497-nucleotide ribosomal RNA is filed under the name uncultured bacterium. RNAcentral describes it as "partial 16S ribosomal RNA". It matches the Rfam family "Bacterial small subunit ribosomal RNA", at positions 28 to 507 of the family's 1533-position model. The record is from RNAcentral.